GCGGUCUUAGCUCAGUUGGUUAGAGCGUCACGUUGACAUCGUGAAGGCCAGUGGUUCGAGUCCACUAGACCGCACAA
RNAcentral lists this transfer RNA (77 nucleotides) under Chlorobiota bacterium. RNAcentral describes it as "Chlorobi bacterium (sediment metagenome) tRNA-Val". It matches the Rfam family "tRNA". Rfam says of the family: Transfer RNA (tRNA) molecules are approximately 80 nucleotides in length. Lineage: Bacteria; Pseudomonadati; Chlorobiota. The record is from RNAcentral.